RNAcentral lists this ribosomal RNA (301 nucleotides) under uncultured bacterium. Its description in RNAcentral is "partial 16S ribosomal RNA". It matches the Rfam family "Bacterial small subunit ribosomal RNA", at positions 509 to 808 of the family's 1533-position model. The record is from RNAcentral.
CAGCCGCCACGGUAAUACGGAGGGCGCGAGCGUUACCCGGAUUUACUGGGCGUAAAGGGCGUGUAGGCGGCCUGGGGCGUCCCAUGUGAAAGGCCACGGCUCAACCGUGGAGGAGCGUGGGAUACGCUCAGGCUAGAGGGUGGGAGAGGGUGGUGGAAUUCCCGGAGUAGCGGUGAAAUGCGCAGAUACCGGGAGGAACGCCGAUGGCGGAGGCAGCCACCUGGUCCACUUCUGACGCUGAGGCGCGAAGCGUGGGGAGCAAACCGGAUUAGAUACCCCAGUAGUCCCUGUCUCUUAUACC